This 391-nucleotide ribosomal RNA is filed under the name uncultured bacterium. RNAcentral's name for it is "bacterial SSU rRNA". It matches the Rfam family "Bacterial small subunit ribosomal RNA", at positions 30 to 420 of the family's 1533-position model. The record is from RNAcentral.
AUUGAACGCUGGCGGCAUGCCUUACACAUGCAAGUCGAACGGCAGCACGGGAGCAAUCCUGGUGGCGAGUGGCGAACGGGUGAGUAAUAUAUCGGAACGUACCUUUCAGUGGGGGAUAACGUAGCGAAAGUUACGCUAAUACCGCAUAUUCUGUGAGCCAGGAAAGCAGGGGAUCGCAAGACCUUGCGCUGAUUGAGCGGCCGAUAUCAGAUUAGCUAGUUGGUGAGGUAAAGGCUCACCAAGGCGACGAUCUGUAGCGGGUCUGAGAGGAUGAUCCGCCACACUGGAACUGAGACACGGUCCAGACUCCUACGGGAGGCAGCAGUGGGGAAUUUUGGACAAUGGGCGCAAGCCUGAUCCAGCCAUGCCGCGUGAGUGAAGAAGGCCUCGG